RNAcentral lists this long non-coding RNA (647 nucleotides) under Salmo salar (Atlantic salmon). RNAcentral describes it as "lncRNA (ENSSSAG00000090835.1, ENSSSAG00000097979.1)". Lineage: Eukaryota; Metazoa; Chordata; Actinopteri; Salmoniformes; Salmonidae. The record is from RNAcentral.
GUGGAGGCUAUAUACAGGGGGUACUGGUACAGAGUCAAUGUGGAGGCUAUAUACAGGGUGUACUGGUGCAGAGUCAAUGUGGAGGCUAUAUACAGGGUGUACUGGUGCAGAGUCAAUGUGGAGGCUAUAUACAGCGGGUACCGGUACAGAGUCAAUGUGGAGGCUAUAUACAGGGGGUACAGGUACAGAGUCAAUGUGGAGGCUAUAUACAGGGGGUACCGGUACAGAGUCAAUGUGGAGGCUAUAUACAGGGGGUACCGGUACUGAGUCAAUGUGGAGGCUAUAUACAGGGUGUACUGGUGCAGAGUCAAUGUGGAGGCUAUAUACAGCGGGUACUGGUACAGAGUCAAUGUGGAGGCUAUAUACAGGGGGUACAGGUACAGAGUCAAUGUGGAGGCUAUAUACAGGGGUACUGGUACAGAGUCAAUGUGGAGGCUAUAUACAGGGGGUACCGGUACAGAGUCAAUGUGGAGGCUAUAUACAGGGGGUACAGGUACAGAGUCAAUGUGGAGGCUAUAUACAGGGGUACUGGUACAGAGUCAAUGUGGAGGCUAUAUACAGGGGGUACCGGUACUGAGUCAAUGUGGAGGCUAUAUACAGGGGUACUGGUACAGAGUCAAUGUGGAGGCUAUAUACAGGGGGUACAG